Molecule: ribosomal RNA, 460 nt
Filed under: uncultured bacterium
Lineage: Bacteria
Description: partial 16S ribosomal RNA
Rfam family: Bacterial small subunit ribosomal RNA
Source: RNAcentral
CCUACGGGAGGCAGCAGUGAGGAAUAUUGGUCAAUGGACGAGAGUCUGAACCAGCCAAGUAGCGUGAAGGAUGACUGCCCUAUGGGUUGUAAACUUCUUUUAUAUUGGAAUAAAAUGUUCCACGUGUGGGAUUUUGUAUGUACCAUAUGAAUAAGUAUCGGCUAACUCCGUGCCAGCAGCCGCGGUAAUACGGAGGUUCCGAGCGUUAUCCGGAUUUAUUGGGUUGACAGGGCGCGUAGGUGGAUUGUUAAGUCAGUUGUGAAAGUUUGCGGCUCAACCGUAAAAUUGCAGUUGAAACUUGCAGUCUUGAGUACAGUAGAGGUGGGCGGAAUUCGUGGUGUAGCGGUGACAUGCUUAGAUAUCACGAAGAACUCCGAUUGCGAAGGCAGUUCACUGGACUGCAACUGACACUGAGGCUCGAAAGUGUGGGUAUCAAACAGGAGUAGAUACCCUAGUAGUC